GGCUCAGAUUGAACGCUGGCGGCAGGCCUUAACACAUGCAAGUCGAGCGGAUGAAGGGAGCUUGCUCCUGGAUUCAGCGGCGGACGGGUGAGUAAUGCCUAGGAAUCUGCCUGGUAGUGGGGGAUAACGUCCGGAAACGGGCGCUAAUACCGCAUACGUCCUGAGGGAGAAAGUGGGGGAUCUUCGGACCUCACGCUAUCAGAUGAGCCUAGGUCGGAUUAGCUAGUUGGUGGGGUAAAGGCCUACCAAGGCGACGAUCCGUAACUGGUCUGAGAGGAUGAUCAGUCACACUGGAACUGAGACACGGUCCAGACUCCUACGGGAGGCAGCAGUGGGGAAUAUUGGACAAUGGGCGAAAGCCUGAUCCAGCCAUGCCGCGUGUGUGAAGAAGGUCUUCGGAUUGUAAAGCACUUUAAGUUGGGAGGAAGGGCAGUAAGUUAAUACCUUGCUGUUUUGACGUUACCAACAGAAUAAGCACCGGCUAACUUCGUGCCAGCAGCCGCGGUAAUACGAAGGGUGCAAGCGUUAAUCGGAAUUACUGGGCGUAAAGCGCGCGUAGGUGGUUCAGCAAGUUGGAUGUGAAAUCCCCGGGCUCAACCUGGGAACUGCAUCCAAAACUACUGAGCUAGAGUACGGUAGAGGGUGGUGGAAUUUCCUGUGUAGCGGUGAAAUGCGUAGAUAUAGGAAGGAACACCAGUGGCGAAGGCGACCACCUGGACUGAUACUGACACUGAGGUGCGAAAGCGUGGGGAGCAAACAGGAUUAGAUACCCUGGUAGUCCACGCCGUAAACGAUGUCGACUAGCCGUUGGGAUCCUUGAGAUCUUAGUGGCGCAGCUAACGCGAUAAGUCGACC
RNAcentral lists this ribosomal RNA (855 nucleotides) under Pseudomonas aeruginosa. RNAcentral's name for it is "bacterial SSU rRNA". It matches the Rfam family "Bacterial small subunit ribosomal RNA", at positions 21 to 870 of the family's 1533-position model. Lineage: Bacteria; Pseudomonadati; Pseudomonadota; Gammaproteobacteria; Pseudomonadales; Pseudomonadaceae. The record is from RNAcentral.